RNAcentral lists this ribosomal RNA (425 nucleotides) under uncultured bacterium. RNAcentral describes it as "partial 16S ribosomal RNA". It matches the Rfam family "Bacterial small subunit ribosomal RNA", at positions 354 to 796 of the family's 1533-position model. The record is from RNAcentral.
GUGGGGAAUAUUGGACAAUGGGCGAAAGCCUGAUCCAGCCAUGCCGCGUGAGUGAUGAAGGCCUUAGGGUUGUAAAGCUCUUUCAGUAGGGAAGAUAAUGACGGUACCUACAGAAGAAGCCCCGGCUAACUUCGUGCCAGCAGCCGCGGUAAUACGAAGGGGGCUAGCGUUGUUCGGGUUUACUGGGCGUAAAGCGCACGUAGGCGGAUUGGUCAGUUAGAGGUGAAAUCCCGAAGCUCAACUUCGGAACUGCCUUUAAUACUGCCAGUCUCGAGUCCGGAAGAGGUGAGUGGAACUCCUAGUGUAGAGGUGGAAUUCGUAGAUAUUAGGAAGAACACCAGUGGCGAAGGCGGCUCACUGGUCCGGUACUGACGCUGAGGUGCGAAAGCGUGGGGAGCAAACAGGAUUAGAUACCCCAGUAGUCC